This 399-nucleotide ribosomal RNA is filed under the name uncultured Strombidiidae. Its description in RNAcentral is "partial small subunit ribosomal RNA". It matches the Rfam family "Eukaryotic small subunit ribosomal RNA", at positions 30 to 432 of the family's 1831-position model. The record is from RNAcentral. Lineage: Eukaryota; Ciliophora; Spirotrichea; Strombidiidae.
GCUUGUCUCAAAGAUUAAGCCAUGCAUGUCUCAGCAUAAGCUUCAACACGGUGAAACUGCAAAUGGCUCAUUAAAGCAGUUACAAUUUAUUUGAUGGUCACUGUUACAUGGAUAACUGUGGUAAUUCUAGAGCUAAUACAUGCAUCAAAACCUGACUCUUGGGAAGGGUUGUGUUUAUUAGAUAACGAACCAAUAUUCCUCUGGUCUAUUGUGGUGAAUCAUAAUAACUGAUCGAAUCGCAAAGCCUUUGGCUGCGAUAUGUCAUUCAAGUUUCUGCCCCAUCAGCUUUCGAUGGUAGUGUAUUGGACUACCAUGGCUUUUACGGGUAACGGAGAAUUAGGGUUCGAUUCCGGAGAGGGAGCCUGAGAAACGGCUACCACAUCUAAGGAAGGCAGCAGG